Molecule: long non-coding RNA, 1137 nt
Organism: Oncorhynchus kisutch (coho salmon)
Lineage: Eukaryota; Metazoa; Chordata; Actinopteri; Salmoniformes; Salmonidae
Source: Ensembl
AUGGAGCAUUGGUUUGACUGUAGAAGUACCCAUAAUAGUAUUGAUAUGGAGCAUUGGUUUGACUGUAGAAGUACCCAUAAUAGUAUUGAUAUGGAGCAUUGGUUUGACUGUAGAAGUACCCAUCAUAGUAUUGAUAUGGAGCAUUGGUUUGACUGUAGAAGUACCCAUAGUAUUGAUAUGGAGCAUUGGUUUGACUGUAGAAGUACCCAUAGUAUUGAUAUGGAGCAUUGGUUUGACUGUAGAAGUACCCAUAGUAUUGAUAUGGAGCAUUGGUUUGACUGUAGAAGUACCCAUCAUAGUAUUGAUAUGGAGCAUUGGUUUGACUGUAGAAGUACCCAUCAUAGUAUUGAUAUGGAGCAUUGGUUUGACUGUAGAAGUACCCAUAGUAUUGAUAUGAGGCAUUGGUUUGACUGUAGAAGUACCCAUCAUAGUAUUGAUAUGGAGCAUUGGUUUGACUGUAGAAGUACCCAUCAUAGUAUUGAUAUGGAGCAUUGGUUUGACUGUAGAAGUACCCAUCAUAGUAUUGAUAUGGAGCAUUGGUUUGACUGUAGAAGUACCCAUAGUAUUGAUAUGGAGCAUUGGUUUGACUGUAGAAGUACCCAUAGUAUUGAUAUGGAGCAUUGGUUUGACUGUAGAAGUACCCGUCAUAGUAUUGAUAUGGAGCAUUGGUUUGACUGUAGAAGUACCCAUCAUAGUAUUGAUAUGGAGCAUUGGUUUGACUGUAGAAGUACCCAUAGUAUUGAUAUGGAGCAUUGGUUUGACUGUAGAAGUACCCAUAGUAUUGAUAUGGAGCAUUGGUUUGACUGUAGAAGUACCCGUCAUAGUAUUGAUAUGGAGCAUUGGUUUGACUGUAGAAGUACCCAUCAUAGUAUUGAUAUGGAGCAUUGGUUUGACUGUAGAAGUACCCAUAGUAUUGAUAUGGAGCAUUGGUUUGACUGUAGAAGUACCCAUCAUAGUAUUGAUAUGGAGCAUUGGUUUGACUGUAGAAGUACCCAUCAUAGUAUUGAUAUGGAGCAUUGGUUUGACUGUAGAAGUACCCAUCAUAGUAUUGAUAUGGAGCAUUGGUUUGACUGUAGAAGCACCCCCCACUACUAUCACAUCACCCCCCCCUCCUCCCCCACUAUCACCCCCCCCACU